CCUACGGGAGGCAGCAGUAGGGAAUCUUCCACAAUGGGCGAAAGCCUGAUGGAGCAACGCCGCGUGGGUGAAGAAGGUCUUCGGAUCGUUAAACCCUGUUGUUCGAGAAGCAAGUGCGUGAGAGUAACUGUUCACGUUUCGACGGUAUCUAACCAGAAAGCCACGGCUAACUACGUGCCAGCAGCCGAGGUAAUACGUAGGUGGCAAGCGUUAUCCGGAUUUAUUGGGCGUAAAGGGAGCGCAGGCGGUCUUUUAAGUCUGAUGUGAAAGCCUUCGGGUUAACCGGAGUAGUGCAUUGGAAACUGGGAGACUUGAGUGCAGAAGAGGAGAGUGGAACUCCAUGUGUAGCGGUGAAAUGCGUAGAUAUAUGGAAGAACACCAGUGGCGAAAGCGGCUCUCUGGUCUGUAACUGACGCUGAGGUUCGAAAGCGUGGGUAGCAAACAGGAUUAGAUACCCUGGUAGUC
Molecule: ribosomal RNA, 465 nt
Filed under: uncultured bacterium
Lineage: Bacteria
Description: partial 16S ribosomal RNA
Rfam family: Bacterial small subunit ribosomal RNA
Source: RNAcentral